Molecule: ribosomal RNA, 484 nt
Filed under: uncultured bacterium
Lineage: Bacteria
Description: partial 16S ribosomal RNA
Rfam family: Bacterial small subunit ribosomal RNA
Source: RNAcentral
AUUGAACGCUGGCGGCAGGCCUAACACAUGCAAGUCGAGCGGAUGAAGGGAGCUUGCUCCUGGAUUCAGCGGCGGACGGGUGAGUAAUGCCUAGGAAUCUGCCUGGUAGUGGGGGAUAACGUCCGGAAGCGGGCGCUAAUACCGCAUACGUCCUGAGGGAGAAAGUGGGGGAUCUUCGGACCUCACGCUAUCAGAUGAGCCUAGGUCGGAUUAGCUAGUUGGUGGGGUAAAGGCCUACCAAGGCGACGAUCCGUAACUGGUCUGAGAGGAUGAUCAGUCACACUGGAGCUUGGACACGGUCCAGACUCCUACGGGAGGCAGCAGUGGGGAAUAUUGGACAAUGGGCGAAAGCCUGAUCCAGCCAUGCCGCGUGUGUGAAGAAGGUCUUCGGAUUGUAAAGCACUUUAAGUUGGGAGGAAGGGCAGUAAGUUAAUACCUUGCUGUUUUGACGUUACCAACAGAAUAAGCACCGGCUAACUUCGUG